RNAcentral lists this long non-coding RNA (567 nucleotides) under Mytilus galloprovincialis (Mediterranean mussel). Lineage: Eukaryota; Metazoa; Mollusca; Bivalvia; Mytilida; Mytilidae. The record is from RNAcentral.
GAACAGAGCAUUUGUGUAAUGUCCAACCCGCUGUUGUUUCGGCUAUUGUCUAAAUUAAUUGCUCAUGAAUAUUGAUUAGUUUGAUGCGCAAGCAUUUCUUGCUGAUCUUGAACUACUUGAAAAUUUUGAUCAAAGGAUUAAUCAAUUAAUUUUCAUUUUAUUAAUUUUAUAUAUCGAUAAUUAUUGUGUUAUGAGUGUACCAUAGUUCUGAACAUUAGUGGUUGACAAGAACCCUACAAUUUUAUUGAUUUGGAUCGAUUGCAUCGUGAGUUAUUGAUUUGUUUACUGAGGCUGAGAGUGGUACAAAAUGUCGUAGCCGUAGGUCAAGCUGACCGAAGAUUCACGUUAAAUGUACAUAUCGUUUGGGAUGCAUUGACAUUCCGCAUUGGACAAUACAAAUACUAUACAUGGAAGUGUAAUACAUAUUUCUACUGUAUAUAUGAAUUUUAAGUUAGGAAAACUUUAGUUUUCUAAUCUUCUGGACAUGAGGCUGAUUAUCUAACAGCUUAGUCAUUUUUAGAACACUGGGAUUUCCUAAUCUCCUUUUCGAAAAUACAUAGAGGGCGC